UAUAUAAUACAUUAAUUCCAAAAUAAUUUCAGAUUUUAUGUAAAACGUAUUCGAGCGACGUUUUUACGAUAUUAGAGUCUGCAUUGUUAUCUGUGCGAUCGGACUUUGAUAAGAAUAACCAUAUCAAUUUUUAAUAAUUAAAUGUGGAAGGAUUAGAAUUCUUUAUAGACUUUUACAAAUGUCUAAUAAGAUUAUAAUUCACAGUUUCUGGAUGUUUUUGAAGCAGCAGGAUUUUCAUAUUUAUAUAAAUUGUUAGCUAUAAUUGCACAGAAUGCAUAGACAUACUCUCACGUAAUUGGACAUGGAGAUUUCUCUAUACACAGAAUUCGUAGCUGCACGAUCCUGGAUGGAUUCUUCUUUAACAUCAUCGUUACUAGAACUCUCCUCAUCUGCAUUCUUCGAACACGUACUUUGC
Molecule: long non-coding RNA, 415 nt
Organism: Osmia bicornis bicornis
Lineage: Eukaryota; Metazoa; Arthropoda; Insecta; Hymenoptera; Megachilidae
Exons: 4
Source: RefSeq, a predicted model, not a curated record